AUUGAACGCUGGCGGCAUGCCUUACACAUGCAAGUCGAACGGCAGCGCGGGGGCAACCCUGGCGGCGAGUGGCGAACGGGUGAGUAAUAUAUCGGAACGUACCCAAGAGUGGGGGAUAACGUAGCGAAAGUUACGCUAAUACCGCAUACGAUCUAAGGAUGAAAGCAGGGGACCGCAAGGCCUUGUGCUCCUGGAGCGGCCGAUAUCUGAUUAGCUAGUUGGUGGGGUAAAGGCCUACCAAGGCAUCGAUCAGUAGCUGGUCUGAGAGGACGACCAGCCACACUGGGACUGAGACACGGCCCAGACUCCUACGGGAGGCAGCAGUGGGGAAUUUUGGACAAUGGGGGGCAACCCUGAUCCAGCAAUGCCGCGUGAGUGAAGAAAGGCCU
RNAcentral lists this ribosomal RNA (389 nucleotides) under uncultured bacterium. Its description in RNAcentral is "bacterial SSU rRNA". It matches the Rfam family "Bacterial small subunit ribosomal RNA", at positions 29 to 418 of the family's 1533-position model. The record is from RNAcentral.